GGUGGUGUAGUGGUCAGAUGCUCAGCUGCUAACUGAAAGGUUGGUGGUUCAAACCCACCAGCCACUC
This 67-nucleotide transfer RNA is filed under the name Loxodonta africana (African savanna elephant). It matches the Rfam family "tRNA". From Rfam's summary of the family: Transfer RNA (tRNA) molecules are approximately 80 nucleotides in length. Their secondary structure includes four short double-helical elements and three loops (D, anti-codon, and T loops). Further hydrogen bonds mediate the characteristic L-shaped molecular structure. tRNAs have two regions of fundamental functional importance: the anti-codon, which is responsible for specific mRNA codon recognition, and the 3' end, to which the tRNAs corresponding amino acid is attached (by aminoacyl-tRNA synthetases). tRNAs cope with the degeneracy of the genetic code in two manners: having more than one tRNA (with a specific anti-codon) for a particular amino acid; and 'wobble' base-pairing, i.e. permitting non-standard base-pairing at the 3rd anti-codon position. Lineage: Eukaryota; Metazoa; Chordata; Mammalia; Proboscidea; Elephantidae. The record is from Rfam by way of RNAcentral.